GAAGUUCCGCGAUCUUCUCUUUGUGCGCGGGCGGAUGGAUCAACGCCGCCAAGUGGGUAAGGUCUGAGGAUUGCGUCAUUAGGCGAUUUUGUUGCUGUACGAACACCACAGAAUGUACUUUGACGACCUAGAUGGUGGAGCCUGGACACACCUCGGCUCUGUGGUGUGGCCUGCUGCUUCCAGGCUGCAAACCUGACAGCAUGGGGCUGUACUGAAUACCGCAGACCAUUGUAAUUCAUGGGGAAAGCGCGAAUGCAGUCCCCCACUACAACAAAUUAUGCAGUCGAGUUUUCCACAUUUGGGAAUAUCACAGGGGUCAGCACAUCCGGAGUGCAAUCGAUGAGCCCCACGCUGGGAAAAACCACCUUCGUGAUCAUGGUAUCUUCCCUGCCAGAGAGAAACCAAUCAGCUUCAUUUUCAACUUCUUCUAUGACUCCAGAGGAUUCACUUUGCAUCUUGUGACAAAUGAAUAUAUUACCUGAAAAAAAAAUGACAGGAUAGAUGAGUUGCUGCACAGGGGGAAAGCGAAGUUCCCAGGAGUAAGAUGUGCAAGAAGCGGGCAGCC
Long non-coding RNA from Homo sapiens (human), 565 nucleotides. Ensembl annotates it as WEE2 antisense RNA 1. Its record names the gene WEE2-AS1. The record is from Ensembl. NCBI's taxonomy places the organism in Eukaryota, Metazoa, Chordata, Mammalia, Primates, Hominidae.